RNAcentral lists this non-coding RNA (31 nucleotides) under Mus musculus (house mouse). The record is from RNAcentral. Lineage: Eukaryota; Metazoa; Chordata; Mammalia; Rodentia; Muridae.
UGACAAGCAGCAACCGGAUUGGCCAAAUAGC